GACGAACGCUGGCGGCGUGCUUAACACAUGCAAGUCGAACGGAAAGGCCCCAGCUUGCUGGGGUUCUCGAGUGGCGAACGGGGGAGUAACACGUGGGCGAUCUGCCCUGCACUCUGGGAUAAGCCUGGGAAACUGGGUCUAAUAUCGUAUAGGACCGGGCCUUCGUGUGAGCGGUGGAGAGUUUUUCGGUGCAGGAUGGGCCCGCGGCCUAUCAGCGUGUUGGUGGGGGAAUGGCCUACCAAGGCGGCGACGGGUGGCCGGCCUGUGAGGGUGUGCGCCGACCAUGGGACUGCGAGAGGGACCAGACUCCUACGGGGGGCAGCAGUGGGGAAUAUUGUCCAAUGGGAGCGAGCGUGAGGAAGCGGCGCCGCGUGGGGGAUGACGGCCUUCGGGUUGUAAACCGCUUUCGGCAGGGACGAAGCUUUUGUGACGGUACCUGCAUAAGAAGCACCGGCUAACUACGUG
Molecule: ribosomal RNA, 465 nt
Filed under: uncultured bacterium
Lineage: Bacteria
Description: partial 16S ribosomal RNA
Rfam family: Bacterial small subunit ribosomal RNA
Source: RNAcentral